UUCAACUUGAGAGUUUGAUCCUGGCUCAGAACGAACGCUGGCGGCAGGCCUAACACAUGCAAGUCGAACGAGACCUUCGGGUCUAGUGGCGGACGGGUUAGUAACGCGUGGGAACGUGCCUCUCUCUACGGAAUAGCCCCGGGAAACUGGGUUUAAUACCGUAUACGCCCUUCGGGGGAAAGAUUUAUCGGAGAGAGAUCGGCCCGCGUUGGAUUAGGUAGUUGGUGGGGUAAUGGCCUACCAAGCCUACGAUCCAUAGCUGGUUUGAGAGGAUGAUCAGCAACACUGGGACUGAGACACGGCCCAGACUCCUACGGGAGGCAGCAGUGGGGAAUCUUAGACAAUGGGCGCAAGCCUGAUCUAGCC
RNAcentral lists this ribosomal RNA (366 nucleotides) under Dinoroseobacter sp. Its description in RNAcentral is "bacterial SSU rRNA". It matches the Rfam family "Bacterial small subunit ribosomal RNA", at positions 1 to 393 of the family's 1533-position model. Lineage: Bacteria; Pseudomonadati; Pseudomonadota; Alphaproteobacteria; Rhodobacterales; Roseobacteraceae. The record is from RNAcentral.